RNAcentral lists this ribosomal RNA (472 nucleotides) under Salmonella enterica. RNAcentral describes it as "bacterial SSU rRNA". It matches the Rfam family "Bacterial small subunit ribosomal RNA", at positions 1 to 468 of the family's 1533-position model. RNAcentral also lists the same sequence under 2 other names. The record is from RNAcentral. Lineage: Bacteria; Pseudomonadati; Pseudomonadota; Gammaproteobacteria; Enterobacterales; Enterobacteriaceae.
AAAUUGAAGAGUUUGAUCAUGGCUCAGAUUGAACGCUGGCGGCAGGCCUAACACAUGCAAGUCGAACGGUAACAGGAAGCAGCUUGCUGCUUCGCUGACGAGUGGCGGACGGGUGAGUAAUGUCUGGGAAACUGCCUGAUGGAGGGGGAUAACUACUGGAAACGGUGGCUAAUACCGCAUAACGUCGCAAGACCAAAGAGGGGGGACCUUCGGGCCUCUUGCCAUCAGAUGUGCCCAGAUGGGAUUAGCUAGUUGGUGAGGUAACGGCUCACCAAGGCGACGAUCCCUAGCUGGUCUGAGAGGAUGACCAGCCACACUGGAACUGAGACACGGUCCAGACUCCUACGGGAGGCAGCAGUGGGGAAUAUUGCACAAUGGGCGCAAGCCUGAUGCAGCCAUGCCGCGUGUAUGAAGAAGGCCUUCGGGUUGUAAAGUACUUUCAGCGGGGAGGAAGGUGUUGUGGUUAAUAACC